This 4820-nucleotide long non-coding RNA is filed under the name Manihot esculenta (cassava). RNAcentral's name for it is "long non-coding RNA (MESC_LNC002274)". Lineage: Eukaryota; Viridiplantae; Streptophyta; Magnoliopsida; Malpighiales; Euphorbiaceae. The record is from RNAcentral.
UGGGGAUGGCUCUUUCGUUGAACUCGGGUGUAAUACCCAGCUAGACUCCGGUAUCGGAAUUCCUACCGUCCGGUGGAUUCUCGGAUGUCGGAAACCUCUAGAAGGGUAAAAUCAUGUUUUUAUAAAAUGUUUUCAUGUAUUUUAUGGUUUUAAGUAAGAAAGAAAUUGAGUUUUGAAUGAAAAAGACCAUAGAGGGAAAUCCAGGUUCGGCCGCCGAACAUGCAUGAGUUUUGGAGUCACCUUCGGCUUCCGAAGGUGGCCUGGCCAGCCACCUAUAAAAGGCCCCAUGGCCGAAAAUGGGCAAGUUUUCUCCCCUAUUUUCGGCCAACGGUGAGUCCAUGCCCCCCCAUGGUUGGUUUUGAUGAUUUUCCUCAAAUCUUUCAAGUCUUAACAAGUUUUAACUUGGUUUUGAAGAUUUUUGAAGCUAAGAUCAAGUUUUGGAGCUUGAAGACCCAAGGAGCUAGAUUUCUCCCAUCUCCAAGUUAGGAUCGUCUCUCCUCUCGAUCUUUAAGAGGUAAGCUUAGAUCCUACCUUUCUUGUAUGUUUUAAGCAAGUUUUGAGGGGUUAUGGGGUAGAAUGCAUGUUUAGGUUAAUGUUGAGUUUAUGGAUAAUGUGUGUUGUAUGAGUUGCUAUAUGUGUUUGUGUUGGGGUUUAGGUUAGUUUGAGACCCCUAUAUGCUUAAUUGCUUGUGUAUGCAUGUUGUAGAAUAGCUAAAUGCAUGUUUAAAUGGUUUGGUAGGCAAAAUGUGCAUGAGGAGACUGAGUUCUGCCACUUUGGGAGAACUCAGGUUCGGCAGCCGAAGGACUUUCGGCCACCGAACCUGCUUGUGGAGGCAAGCUUUCGGCUGCCGAACCCUGCCCCCGAAAGUUGGACUUUCGGCUCUGGAAGGGAGUUUCGGCCGCCGAAGGUGCCGCCGAACCUGCACGAGUUUCGGCUCUGGAACCACUUUCGGCCGCCGAAGGUGCUGCCGAAAGUGGCUGAGUUUCGGCUCUUGAGGGACUUUCGGCCGCCGAACCUGCCGCCGAAAGUGCCCUGUUCAGCCUUCCUUUGCAUGAUUUCAGUGAUUGUUUUAAGGUGUUUUAGGGGGGUUUUUGGGGAGUAGUUUAAAGUCAUGUUCAUGUAUGUUUGGUCCCUCAUUUGAGUCUACCUGUGUAGGUUCGGACCUGAGGAACCGAGGACCCCAACAGUGAGAUAGCUGCUUCAAUGUCUUUUCAGAGCUAGCCAGAGGUGAGUAGAACUAAACCAUGUUUUAAAUAAUAAAAGUUUUUAGCAUGUUUCAUGCAUCAUGAAUGCCAUGUUUAUAUUAGGUUGUAUUGCAUUAGAAUUCACGAAGAUGAUGCAUUGCAUUAUUUGUUGUUGAUGUGGAUGGAUGUUGGAUGACCCAUUAGUCCUCAAUAUGUAUGAUGAUUAAUGAAUGUCCAAGGCUGCCCAUGUCCACGCGUCCUGGCAUUUAUUUAUGUAUGAUGAUUAAUGAAAGUCCAGGGCUGCCCAUGUCCACGCGUCUUGGCAUUGUGUGAUGAUUAAGAGGAAGUCCUGCGGAGCUCCAUCAAGGGCCGGGCACAUUGGAAUUAGACGGUUAUUGGUGACAAAUCCAUCCGUGAUGUGAAUUGUAUGUGUUGUGAUGCAUUACAUGAAAGCAUGACUUAUGAUAAUGUUUUAUGGUUCUGCUCACUGGGCUUUUUAGCUCACCCCAUUCCCUUAACCCCCAGGUGUGCAGGUACGGGAUAGACCAAGAUGUCAGUAAGAGUAAAGUCAUGUUUAUGUAAUAGUUAGAUGUGGACAUGAAAAUGUUGUAAUGUAAAGUGUUGAACAGUCACGUAAUGUAAUGAUGAUAUUGAGGAUUAGAAUUGUGCUUGACCCUAGUAUGUAAAGUAAAUCCCUUUUGCACAUGAUCUAUAAAAUGUUUUAAUGAUGUUUUAUGCAAACCAAGCUUAAUGUAUGAUAUGUUGCCCCAUUGGAGCAUUUGAUGAGGGCUCCAGUGUGGGGUUUUAUGGUUAUGAGUUUGUGCAUGCACAGGUUAAGCUUGGUAGAUGAAAGAAAAAGUUUAAAGUUUUUAUGUAUAUGUUUGAUCAUGUAUGGGAUUUAGCAGGUAUACAGGAUGUAUGUUAGGCUUGCUACGGGUCCCGGCGACCUUAAGUCGAUCUGGAUCCUAACGUCGGUAGCGGUCCGAUUUCUGGGUCGUUACAUUAGGCUCAUAUGGCAAAUUAACCACGAGUUUCUUUCUUCCCCAAAAUGCAUCUGGACUUUCUGCACAAAUGUUGUUUAGCAUUUCUUCUUAGAUUACCUUUAUCCUCUGUUGUACUUUAGGAUCCAUUAUCCUUUCUUCUGAACUCUUAUAGUUGACUUCCUGUUUUAAGGAAUUAAUGAACUUUGUUUUAUUUUUAACAGUGCUUUUUAACAAAUCAAUUUCUUUUAUCUUUGGUUGCAAGAUAAAAUAGAAAGUAAUUACUCUCCCAUUUAUCUCUGUGCUGAUUCCUUCUUCAGAUAUCUGUUGAAUGGGGUAGAGCAUAUGCAGGAAUGGAUUUCCUAGAAUAACAAGAUGAGAUAAUCCUUUUACCAUUAGGAAUGGGAUUUCGAAACAAGUACCUUGAUUGCAAAUAAUUGUGUUGUUUAAUUUGAACCGUACCGUCAUUUUACUGCCAUUAGCUGUGUUUAAUUCUUCGAUUGUCUUUGAGAAAUACCGCGAAGGGACCAAUCCCUCAUUGAUGCAGUUAAGGUCAGCUCUAGAAUCUAUUAGUGCGAUUGUUUGAAACAUAUACUCCUUAUGGACGACUAUCGUUACCUUGGUAUGCCACUUGUAGGUUAUUACCCUAUCUAUCAUGUUGACAUAAUGAAGAUUGUUGAUGCUUUUAUCAACAUCUUCAGGAUGAUUUUCUUCAGGUUCUUCUGUGGUGAAUUAUUGCUGUUCUUUUAGCAGUUUUAGGAUAUUUAUCCUUUUUUUCAACUCUUUAAUCUCAGUCUUAACCGAGUUGAGCUCUGCCUUCAACUCUAUUAGAGUUGGUUCGUUUGAUCUCUUCGAGUUUUUAACUCUUUCUAGAAUCUCUUUCAAGUCAUAGGGAGACUGCUUGCUUUCUAUUUUUUUAUCCAUCAGAUUAUGAGAAGAAGUUCCACCCUUUUCCCUAUAUAUAUUAAUAUAGGCUUCUAGCUUUUCUCUCUUCUUUUCUGGGUUGUCAAUAUUAUCGAUCAAGUCUAGAAUUAGAUUGUCUUCUUUGGUGAGAACCAAAAGGCCAUUCAUGGCGCAUAGCGAUUUAUAGUAGUCACAUCAGAUUAUGAGAAGAAGUUCCACCCUUUUCCCUAUAUAUAUUAAUAUAGGCUUCUAGCUUUUCUCUCUUCUUUUCUGGGUUGUCAAUAUUAUCGAUCAAGUCCAGAAUUAGAUUGUCUUCUUUGGUGAGAACCAAAAGGCCAUUCAUAGCGCAUAGCGAUUUAUAGUAGUCACAGUUUCCUUCGCAUUCAGUAGUCUCCUUUUGCUCUUCUUCUUCUGUGCUACUUUCUUCUUCUUCUUCUGUCGUAUAAUCUAUGGCAUUGAGUGCCAUGACUUCUUGUUCUGAGUCGAUCUCAUUUAGAAGUACUUUUGCUAACGCUUCUUUCUAAUCUUCUUUUAUCUUCAAAGCUUGAAUUUGCUGCUUAACUCGACACUUAUUAGCGUAGUGACCAACUUUUCCACAUCUGUAGCAAACAAUAGUUUUCUCUGUUUUGCCAUUUCUAAGUUUCGGCUUUUGCUUUAGCUUAUGGGAACGAGCAUGUUCUUGCUUCUGAAACUUUUUUGGUUUAGCCAAAUGUUGAUGAUACUGUCGCCGUUUUCUGUGGCGAAAGUGGUGGUCCUUAUCCUAAUUAUCAUGUUGUCAACCAUAAUAAACACUGUGAUCGUAGAGAGUAUCAAAGAACUCUAAGUCUGUUUAACUGCAUCCUUAAUUACUUAUAUUAGCUUUUAAGAAGUAAUAAUUUUUAAAUCUGGUAUAUAGACUAGAAUACUCAAACUUUCUCAAUCCGGCAAUUGGUGUGCCGUAGAGAUAACUUGAGACACAACGUCACGUACUCAAGUCAGUUGAUGGGAGUAAAAUGCAACCCACUCCUCUAGUUGAUGAAGUGAAAUUGUACUAUAGUCUCGAGUCGCAAGCAUUAACUUUCUUCCCAAACUAGUCUCCUGGAAGUUCUUCGUUCACCUCUACUAUGCCUAAUGAAGGAUGGAAGAAUGAAGCUACUGAUUUUAGAUGACUCAUACAGGAGCAUCAGCAGCAUGACUUUCUCCAAAAAUGAUGAGGGUAUUACCUCUCAGCUGGACCAAAUGAAGGAUAUGCUUAUGCACAUUAUUACUCGAAACACAUCCAGCCAGCCUUCAGCUCCUACUAAUCAAAGUACUUCAUCUGCACCGCCUCUAGAUUAGCCAAAUGUGAGAGGACGUGAUGAUGCUGAUGGUGAUGAUGAGGAUGCUAUAGAUUUGUAGUUCUUCAUCGCUUUAUUGUACUUGUUACCUUCAAUUUUCAAAUUACUUUAAUAUUUAUUUUCUACUAUUUAUAUUGUUUUAUACUUGUAAAUGGUUUGUUAUGAAUGAAUUGAGUGAUUUCUUAUUACUGGAUUGAAUAGUUUCUUGUUAUUGUAUUGAAUUAUUGAUACAUGAGUUGUAUUGAGUGAGUGAGUUUACAGGUAAUCAUGAGAGGUACAAAUAGGGGUAUGGAGGAGUGGAAAAAGGCAAUUAGUAACGGAUUAGUAAUGAAUUUUCCGUUACUAAAAAUUCCAUUACUAUUGUUGGUUAAAUAUAAAAUAGAAUUAUAAUGGAUAAUCCGUUACAAAUCCGUUAUUAAAAAUAUCCGUUAUUAAAA